GAUGAACGCUGGCGGCGUGCCUAAUACAUGCAAGUAGAACGCUGAAGGAGGAGCUUGCUCUUCUGGAUGAGUUGCGAACGGGUGAGUAACGCGUAGGUAACCUGCCUGGUAGCGGGGGAUAACUAUUGGAAACGAUAGCUAAUACCGCAUGACAACAGUUAUUGCAUGAUAACUGUUUAAAAGGGGCAACUGCUCCACUACCAGAUGGACCUGCGUUGUAUUAGCUAGUUGGUGAGGUAACGGCUCACCAAGGCGACGAUACAUAGCCGACCUGAGAGGGUGAUCGGCCACACUGGGACUGAGACACGGCCCAGACUCCUACGAGAGGCAGCAGUAGGGAAUCUUCGGCAAUAGACGGAAGUCUGACCGAGCAACGCCGCGUGAGUGAAGAAGGUUUUCGGAUCGUAAAGCUCUGUUGUAAGAGAAGAACGAGUGUGAGAGUGGAAAGUUCACACUGUGACGGUAUCUGACCAGAAAGGGACGGCUAACUACGUG
RNAcentral lists this ribosomal RNA (495 nucleotides) under uncultured bacterium. RNAcentral's name for it is "partial 16S ribosomal RNA". It matches the Rfam family "Bacterial small subunit ribosomal RNA", at positions 28 to 507 of the family's 1533-position model. The record is from RNAcentral.